GAUGAAGAACGUAGCGAAAUGCGAUACGUAAUGUGAAUUGCAGAAUUCAGUGAAUCAUCGAGUCUUUGAACGCACAUUGCGCCCCCUGGUAUUCCGGGGGGCAUGCCUGUCCGAGCGUCAUUGCUGCCCUCAAGCACGGCUUGUGUGUUGGGCCUCCGUCCUCCUCCCGGGGGACGGGCCCGAAAGGCAGCGGCGGCACCGCGUCCGGUCCUCGAGCGUAUGGGGCUUCGUCACCCGCUCUUGUAGGCCCGGCCGGCGCUUGCCGACACAUCAAUCUUUUUUCCAGGUUGACCUCGGAUCAGGAAGGGAUACCCGCUGAACUUAAGCAUAUCAAUAAGCGGAGGA
This 345-nucleotide unclassified non-coding RNA is filed under the name soil metagenome. RNAcentral's name for it is "partial contains 5.8S ribosomal RNA, internal transcribed spacer 2, and large subunit ribosomal RNA". The stretch from base 1 to 120 matches the Rfam family "5.8S ribosomal RNA", at positions 35 to 154 of the family's 154-position model. The record is from RNAcentral.